UACUGACCACAUCCACCUGUCUCAUGACUC
RNAcentral lists this non-coding RNA (30 nucleotides) under Mus musculus (house mouse). The record is from RNAcentral. Lineage: Eukaryota; Metazoa; Chordata; Mammalia; Rodentia; Muridae.